Molecule: long non-coding RNA, 2794 nt
Organism: Oncorhynchus masou masou (cherry salmon)
Lineage: Eukaryota; Metazoa; Chordata; Actinopteri; Salmoniformes; Salmonidae
Exons: 3
Source: RefSeq, a predicted model, not a curated record
GACAGAGGAGCUGGUGGGAGAUGAAGUUGAGGACACCAAUCGCUAUGCCUUGGAGCUACAGAAGAAGAUAGAGCCACAUGGAAAGUGGACCACCUGACGAGAGAGAGAAAGAUCAAACCAGACUGUGUGUUUGACUUUAAUCGCAAUAUGGGGUCAGUGGAUAAAACGGACAUGAUAAACAGCUCUAAGAUAAACUUGGAUUAAAAUGAGAAACUUGGAUUAGCUAACACAACGUGCCAUUGGAACACAGGAGUGAUGGUUGCUGAUAAUGGGCAUCUGUACGCAUAUGUAGAUAUACCAUUAAAUCUGCCACUUCCAGGCAACCGCUAUCACCACUACCCAGCAAACAAACCCAAAGGGAGACCUCUCAAAAAAAAUAGGAGUGAGAGAAGAGGAGAGAGACGAGGGGGAACAAGUGCCAAGAGAGAGCAAGUCACUAAUCUCAUGCCAUGUUUGACGAGUGUCGUUUUUGCUGAUGCCGAAUGGGGGCCGGGGGAAUUCGGUGAGCUCAUCUGAUGGUCUAUCUUGUCUAGACGCACAGGAGGAGGAGAGAGGAGGUGUAGAGACGGAGUGGAAGAGAGACACAUCAAUAUGAGAGAGAGAGAGAGAGAGAGAGAGAGAGAGAGAGAGAGAGAGAGGGAGAGAGAAUCAAUGAAUUGGCGAGGGCACUAGAACAGUCUGCAGCACCCGGCCUCACCCUACUAGAAUCUGAAGUCAAAUGUCUACUGUUUGCUGAUGAUCUGGUGCUUCUGUCUCCAACCAAGGGGAGACUACAGCAGAGUCUAGAUCUUCUGCACAGAUUCCGUCAGACCUAAAUCUCAGUAAGAUAAAAAUAAUUAUGUUUAAGAAAAGGUCCAGUUGCCAGAACAACAAAUACCAUUGCCCUAGAGCACACAAAAAAUGAUAUAUACCUUGGUCUAAACAUCAGCAACACAGGUAACUUCCACAAAGCUGUGAGGAAGGAGCAUAAAAUGUGACAUACCAAUUAGGAUUUAGCUAAGAAUACAGAUGAAGUCGAAAGUUUACAUACACUUAGGUUGGAGUCAUUAAAACUUGUUUUUCAACCACUCCACAAAUUUCUUGUUAACAUACUAUAGUGUCGGCAAGUCGGUUAGGACAUCUACUUUGUGCAUGACACAAGUAUAUUUUCCGACAAUUGUUAAGAGACAGAUUAUUUCACUGUAUCACAAUUCCAGUGGGUCAGAAGUUUACAUACGCUAAGUUGACUGUGCAUUUAAACAGCUUGAAAAAUUCCAGAAAAGAAGGUCAUGGCUUUAGAAGCUUCUGAUAGGCUAAUUGACAUUGUUUGAGUCAAUUGGAGGUGUACCUGUGAAUGUAUUUCAAGGCCUACUUUCAAAUUCAGUGCCUCUUUGCUUGACAUCAUGGGGAAAUCAAAAGAAAUCAGCCAAGACCUCAGAAAAAACAUUGUAUACCUCCACAGUAUGGUUCAUCCUUGGGAGCAAUUUCCAAAUGCCUGAAAGUACCACGUUCAUCUGUACAAACAAUUGGACGCAAGUAUAAACACCAUGGGACCACGCAGCCAUCAUACCACUCAGGAAGGAGACGCGUUCUGUCUCCUAGAGAUGAACGUACUUUGGUGCGAAAAGUGCAAAUCAAUCCCAGAACAACAGCAAAGGACAAUGAGAAAAUGCUGGAGGAAACAGGUAAAAAAGCAUCUAUAUCCACAGUAAAAGAAGCCAUAUAUCGACAUAACCUGAAAGGCUGCUCAGCAAGUAAGAAGCUUCUGCUCCAAAACCGCCAUAAAAACUCCAGACCACGGUUUGCAACUGCACAUGGGGACAAAGAUCAUACUUUUUGGAGAAAUGUCCUCUGGUUUAAUGAAACAAAAAUAGAACUGUUUGGUCAUAAUGACUAUCAUUAAGUUUGGAGGAAAAGGGGGAGGCUUGCUAACCAAAGAACAACAUCCCAACCGUGAAGCACGAGGGUGGCAGCAUCAUGUUGUGGGGGUGCUUUGCUGCAGGAGGGACUGGUGCACUUCACAAAAUAGAUUAUGUGGAUAUAUUGGAGCAACAUCUCAAGACAUCAGUCAGGAAGUUAAAGCUUGGUCGCAAAUGGGUCAUCCAAAUGGACAAUGACCUCAAGCAUACUUCCAAAAUUAUGGCAAAAUGGCUUCAGGACAACAAAGUGAAGGUAUUGAAGUGGCCAUUAUAAAGCCCUGACCUCAAUCCUAUAGAAAAUUUGUGGGCAGAACUGAAAAAAAGUGAGUGCGAGCCAGGAGGCCUACAAACCAGCUCUGUCAUGAGGAAUGGGCCAAAAUUCACCCAACUUAUUGUGGGAAGCGUGUGGAAGGCUACCCAAAAUGUUUGACUCAAGUUAAACAAUUUAAAGGAAAUGCUACCAAAUACUAAUUGAAUGUAAACUUCUAACCCACUGGGAAUGUGAUGAAAGAAAUAAAAGCUGAACUAAAUCAUUCUCUCUACUAUUAUUCUGACAUUUCACAUACAAGGUCUGUGAGAGCCAGAAAUCUUGCUUGUUUGUAGGUGACCAAAUACAUAUUUUCCACCAUAAUUUGCAAAUAAAUUAAUUACAAAUCAUACAAUGUGAUUUUCUGGAUUUUUUUUCUCAUUUUGUCUGUCAUACUUGAAGUGUACCUAUGAUGAAAAUUACAGGCUUCUCUCAUCUUUUUAAGUGGGAGAACUUGCACAAUUGGUGGCUGACUAAAUACUUUUUUUGCCCCACUGUACAUUGUUUAACCUAAUUCUGACUAAAACUACACACAUCAUCAGAUUAUAAUUUUAUGAUUCUAAUCAAUUUCAUACAGUUAUAAGGUUUC